Rhagoletis zephyria (snowberry fruit fly) is the source of this 99-nucleotide long non-coding RNA. RefSeq lists it as uncharacterized. Lineage: Eukaryota; Metazoa; Arthropoda; Insecta; Diptera; Tephritidae. The record is from RefSeq and is a predicted model, not a curated record.
AUGUUUACAUAUCAAUCUCUUCUUUUGCUAGCUUCCAUUUUGGUUUACUUUCACACUUGACAUUUCUCCUCUUCUUUGCAAAAAUGAUCGAUAAAAUUA